CCUACGGGUGGCAGCAGUGGGGGAUAUUGCACAAUGGGGGGAACCCUGAUGCAGCGACGCCGCGUGGGUGAAGAAGCGCCUCGGCGCGUACAGCCCUGUCAGCAGGGAAGAAAAUGACGGUACCUGAAGAAGAAGCCCCUGCUAACUACGUGCCAGCAGCCGCGGGAAUACGUAGGGGGCAAGCGUUCGCCGGAUUUACUGGGUGUAAAGGGGGCGCAGACGGCGAUGCAAGCCAGGAGUGAAAGCCCGGGGGCCAACCCCGGGACUGCUCGUGGAACUGCGUGGCUGGAGUGCAGGAGGGGCAGGCGGAAUUCCUGGUGUAGCGGUGAAAUGCGUAGAUAUCAGGAGGAACACCGGUGGCGAAGGCGGCCUGCUGGACUGCAACUGACGUUGAGGCCCGAAAGCGUGGGGAGCAAACAGGAUUAGAUACCCUUGUAGUC
This 440-nucleotide ribosomal RNA is filed under the name uncultured bacterium. RNAcentral's name for it is "partial 16S ribosomal RNA". It matches the Rfam family "Bacterial small subunit ribosomal RNA", at positions 338 to 795 of the family's 1533-position model. The record is from RNAcentral.